This is a long non-coding RNA of Vicia villosa (hairy vetch), 266 nucleotides long. RefSeq lists it as uncharacterized. Lineage: Eukaryota; Viridiplantae; Streptophyta; Magnoliopsida; Fabales; Fabaceae. The transcript is spliced from 3 exons. The record is from RefSeq and is a predicted model, not a curated record.
UGGCUCUGCAGGUUUCUUGGUGGUACAAACAAAUAUGGCAGUGCUGUAGAUAACCUGGAGCUGUGACUGAAAUACAAUGUGGAUGGAGGACCGAAACUUAUUGGCCAUGAUCAUGAGGUGUGGUUUAAUUUGUGUAUGAUGCUGAAAGUGGCAUAACGUGUUGUUUGGAUAUGAUUUACCAAUGUGUAGGAAUGCUGCAGGUUUACAGGGACUGAAAUGGUUUUAUCUGUUCGGUUUUGGUGAUUUUCUGAAUAGUUAUGGAUUCG